UGCCUCCUUUCCAAGCAAAAAAAGUCAUAGCAUAUUUAUUCUCCCCUUAAAUCCAUCCUCAAGUGAAAACUUUGGAAGGAAAAAUGGAUUUAGUAUCAUUUCAUAUGGAAGCAAUGAUCUUCAACUUCUGUGAUGCAUUUUCAGCUCUAUGGGAUCACUUUUCUGAGAGGUGCCUUUUGCUUUCCCAUGUCAAAUUUUUAUGAAGUAUGUUUGAUGAAAUCAGUGACAUUGGUUAUAUUCAAGUGACAGGUGACCAUAAGUAAUCUGUGUAUGUGUUGCUCACAUUGUGAUCCUCCAUUUGGGA
RNAcentral lists this long non-coding RNA (304 nucleotides) under Parus major (Great Tit). Its description in RNAcentral is "lncRNA (ENSPMJG00000011655.1)". The record is from RNAcentral. Lineage: Eukaryota; Metazoa; Chordata; Aves; Passeriformes; Paridae.